GGCGGAUGCCUUGGCACUAGGAGCCGAUGAAGGACGUGAUAAGCUGCGAUAAGCUUCGGGGAGUUGCACGUAAACUUUGAUCCGAAGAUUUCCGAAUGAGGAAACUCACUUAGAGUAAUGUCUAAGUAUCAUUAAGUGAAUACAUAGCUUAAUGAGGGGAACUCAGGGAACUGAAACAUCUAAGUACCUGAAGGAAGAGAAAGAAAUUCGAUUCCGUAAGUAGCGGCGAGCGAACGCGGAUUAGCCCAAACCAAUAAAGUUUUCUUUAUUGGGGUUGCGGACAUAUCAUAACGAAGAGGUAUCGUAAUUGAAGAGGUUUGGAAAGACCCACCACAGAAGGUAAUAGUCCUGUAUGUUAAACGAGAAGACUUCAGAUAUGAUCCAGAGUACCACGGGACACGUGAAACCCUGUGGGAAGCAGGAGGGACCACCCUCCAAGGCUAAAUACUACCUAGUGACCGAUAGCGUAUAGUACCGUGAGGGAAAGGUGAAAAGAACCCCGGGAGGGGAGUGAAAUAGAACCUGAAACCCUGCACUUACAAGCUGUGGAAGCACAUUUCUUGUGUGACCGCGUACUUUUUGUAGAACGGGCCAACGAGUUACGUUAAGUAGCAAGGUUAAGCACUUAAGGUGCGGAGCCGUAGCGAAAGCGAGUUUUAACUGAGCGUUCAGUUACUUGACGUAGACCCGAAACCGGGCGACCUACCCAUGAGCAGGAUGAAGCGAAAGUAAAAUUUCGUGGAGGUCCGAACCCACGAGCGUUGAAAAGCUCGGGGAUGACUUGUGGGUAGCGGUGAAAUUCCAAUCGAGCCCGGAGAUAGCUGGUUCUCCCCGAAAUAGCUUUAGGGCUAGCCUCAAGGUGAGAGAUACGGAGGUAGAGCACUGAAUGUCCUAGGGGGUAUUGCACCUACCGAAGACUAUCAAACUCCGAAUGCCGUCAUCUUAUACUUGGGAGUCAGACUGUGGGUGAUAAGAUUCAUAGUCGAAAGGGCAACAGCCCAGAUCGUCAGCUAAGGUCCCUAAAUGUAAGUUAAGUGGUAAAGGAUGUGGGAUUGCACAGACAACCAGGAUGUUGGCUUAGAAGCAGCCACUCAUUCAAAGAGUGCGUAAUAGCUCACUGGUCGAGUGAUCCUGCGCCGAAGAUUUCCGGGGCUAAAACUUACUACCGAAGCUACGGCAUCAGUAAUGAUGGGUAGGGGAGCUUCCCAUACGGGUUGAAGCAUGACCGUAAGGACAUGUGGACAGUAUGGGAGUGAGAAUGUUGGCAUGAGUAGCGAGAUGUGGGUGAGAAUCCCACAGGCCGUAAACCCAAGGUUUCCAGGGGAAGGUUCGUCCGCCCUGGGUUAGUCGGGACCUAAGCUGAGGCCGAAAGGCGUAGGUGAUGGACAACAGGUUGAUAUUCCUGUACUACCGAUAACCGUUUGAGAGAAGGGAUGACACAGUAGGAUAAGCUAAGCACACUGUUGGUUAUGUGUGCCCAAGCAUUGAGGCAGUCAAAGUAGGCAAAUCCGCUUUGAUAAUGCUGGGAUGUGAUGGGGAGCGAAAUUUAGUAGCGAAGUAGCUGAUUUCACACUGUCAAGAAAAGUCUCUAUCGAGGUUAAAGGUACCCGUACCGCAAACCGACACAGGUGGGUGAGGAGAGUAUCCUAAGGCCAGCGAGAGAACUGUUGUUAAGGAACUCGGCAAAAUGACCCCGUAACUUAGGGAUAAGGGGUGCCACCAUCAGGUGGCCGCAGAGAAUAGGCCCAAGCGACUGUUUACCAAAAACAUAGGUUUCUGCUAAGUCGCAAGACGAUGUAUAGGAGCUGACGCCUGCCCGGUGCUGGAAGGUUAAGGGGAUCUGUUAGAGCAAUCGAAGCAGUGAACUUAAGCCCCAGUAAACGGCGGCCGUAACAAUAACGGUCCUAAGGUAGCGAAAUUCCUUGUCGGGUAAGUUCCGACCCGCACGAAAGGCGUAACGAUUUGGGCACUGUCUCAACAACAGACUCGGUGAAAUUGUAAUUCCGGUGAAGAUGCCGGAUACCUGCGACAGGACGGAAAGACCCCAUGGAGCUUUACUGUAGCUUGACAUUGGGUCUUGGUACUACAUGUACAGGAUAGGUGGGAGGCUUUGAAACCAGGACGCCAGUUUUGGCGGAGCCAUCCUUGGGAUACCACCCUUGUAGUACUGGGACUCUAACCAUAGGCCAUGAAUCUGGUCUUGGGACACUGUCAGGUGGGCAGUUUGACUGGGGCGGUCGCCUCCCAAAAGGUAACGGAGGCGCUCAAAGGUUCUCUCAGUACGGUCGGAAAUCGUACGUAGAGUGUAAAGGCAAAAGAGAGCUUGAUUGCAAGACAUACAGGUCGAGCAAGGAUGAAAAUCGGACUUAGUGAUCCGGUGGUUCUGCGUGGAAGGGCCAUCGCUCAACGGAUAAAAGCUACCCUGGGGAUAACAGGCUUAUCUCCCCCAAGAGUCCACAUCGACGGGGAGGUUUGGCACCUCGAUGUCGGCUCAUCACAUCCUGGGGCUGUAGUAGGUCCCAAGGGUUGGGCUGUUCGCCCAUUAAAGUGGUACGCGAGCUGGGUUCAGAACGUCGUGAGACAGUUCGGUCCCUAUCCGUCGCAGGCGUAGGAAAUUUGAGAAGACCUGUCCUUAGUACGAGAGGACCGGGAUGGACGUACCUCUGGUGUACCAGUUGUCCUGCCAAGGGCAUGGCUGGGUAGCUAUGUACGGAAUGGAUAAGCGCUGAAAGCAUCUAAGCGCGAAGCCAACUUCAAGAUAAGAUUUCCCACCGCAAGGGUAAGACCCCAGAAAGACUAUCUGGUUGAUAGGUCGAAGGUGUAAGUGCAGCAAUGUAUUUAGCUUAUCGAUACUAAUAGGUCGAGGACUUGACCAAU
Molecule: ribosomal RNA, 2877 nt
Filed under: Chlamydia psittaci
Lineage: Bacteria; Pseudomonadati; Chlamydiota; Chlamydiia; Chlamydiales; Chlamydiaceae
Description: bacterial LSU rRNA
Rfam family: Bacterial large subunit ribosomal RNA
Source: RNAcentral